GGCUGCUGGUUUGAAAUAGGGCUGGAGGCUGGGGAAUCACAAGUAGCCCUUGGGUGGUUGGAGAGCAGUGAGGCUGGGCUGCUGCGACCUGGCGGGGCUGGAGGCGGCGAGCGUGUCCGGCGGUGGUGCCAGCCGUCCCAGGGGCUGCACCGCCACCUGCUGAGCGGCUGGGGCAGUCCUGGGUCCUAUACUGCGGGACUCAGGCGCGGGGCCCGGCGCGGCCCGCAGCAAGUGGGAAGGAGUGACACGGCAGUGUGUGCGCAGGUGAGCGCAGGCUCGGUGCUCCCCGGCGCGCCCGCCCUUCCCGCCAGGGAGUUGAGUGCCCGGGUAAACACCAGGCGCGGUGCGCGCGGUGUAUCCACGGAGAGACAAAGCCAGGGCGGGGCGGGGGCGCCGCCCGCGAAGCCGGGGCGGGGGCGCGGGGUGCAGAUUGGUCUCCCCUGGCUCGGGUUGCCCCACCGCCCGGGAGCCCCGAGCCCGGCUCGCGGACAGGUGGAGCGGGGGGCGGGGCGGCGGCCGGGCGGGUCCCGCCCCGGGGGUGGGGCCGGGCGGGGCGGGCGGGGCGGGGCCGCGCUAUGCAAAUGUCGCCCACGGGCGGCCAAUUGCCGGCGCUCCCCGCGCGGCUCCGAGCGCCCCGUCCCGCCGGCGGCCGCGAGACCAGAGCGAGCUAGCGAGCGAACGGCCGCGGUCAGGCCAGCCCCGAGCGCAGCGCAGGGCCAGGGCGCGCCGCGAGCAGCGGCGCAGCCCAGCGCGGCCGCCCGGCCCCAGGCCAGCCAGCAGGCGAGCACCGCCGGGCCGAGCCAAGCGCAGCGCCCCGGAGCCGAGCGCGCGCCGUCGCCCGCGCCCCGCGCCGGGGAAUGCGCCCUCGGCGCGCCGGCCAGGGGGCGCCCGCAGCCCACCCGGGGGGAGGCGGCCCCGAGCGCCCCUGAGCCUUCCCAUGGCCCGGGCUGGGGCCCGGGGCCUCGGCUGCUGACGCGCCCGAAGCCCGGGGAACCCGUUAAAGCCGGGCCGCGGCGUCGACCCCGGCUCAGGCACAGAGGCGAGAGGGCGCGGGCAGGGCCAUGGCCCCGGGGGGCCGCUAGCGCUGGCCGGCCCGACCCGGAGCCGCUCAGCCGCCGCCGCCGCCGCCGCCCCCGCCGCCCGGGAGCCCAGGCCCCGCCGCCGCGGAGGAGGUGA
This 1176-nucleotide long non-coding RNA is filed under the name Canis lupus familiaris (dog). RNAcentral describes it as "lncRNA (ENSCAFG00030012639.1)". Lineage: Eukaryota; Metazoa; Chordata; Mammalia; Carnivora; Canidae. The record is from RNAcentral.